Long non-coding RNA from Triticum aestivum (bread wheat), 394 nucleotides. RefSeq lists it as uncharacterized. The transcript is spliced from 3 exons. The record is from RefSeq and is a predicted model, not a curated record. Lineage: Eukaryota; Viridiplantae; Streptophyta; Magnoliopsida; Poales; Poaceae.
UAGUCCACGCCAAACUCCAGUUUCAUUCGCUCCUUUCUAACUGAUGAAUCUGGUACGGUUGUUUGGAUCUUGAGAUACUAUCUUUUUUUUUGAGGAUCUUGAGAUACUAUCUUAACUUGCUUACUCCCGGCAGAAAGAAUUGCAGUUGGCACGAGCAGGAUUUUCGCUUGGCAUUCAAAAAUUGGGAGCCAUUAUGUCAUUGUUUGAUUACAAAAAUUGGAAUAUGGGAGGAUGUAUAUGUCUCCUAAAUCAAGAUUAAUCAAUUAGAUCUCCGGGAUAAAAGUGGAUAGAAAAAGAUGCUUUUGGUCCUGCAGGUCUUACAAGAUAUUUCUAAUGCUUCAGAAAAAAACAUUUUAUCAAGAAUGACAUGUAUAAGGAAGCCCUCCGUGUGUUG